Molecule: ribosomal RNA, 253 nt
Filed under: uncultured bacterium
Lineage: Bacteria
Description: partial 16S ribosomal RNA
Rfam family: Bacterial small subunit ribosomal RNA
Source: RNAcentral
UACGUAGGGUGCCAGCGUUGUCCGGAAUUAUUGGGCGUAAAGAGCUCGUCGGGGGUUUGUCGCGUCUGCUGUGAAAACUCGGGGCUUAACCCCGGGCCUGCAGUGGGUACGGGCAGACUAGAGGGCGGUAGGGGAGACUGGAAUUCCUGGUGUAGCGGUGAAAUGCGCAGAUAUCAGGAGGAACACCGGUGGCGAAGGCGGGUCUCUGGGCCGUAACUGACGCUGAGGAGCGAAAGCGUGGGGAGCGAACAGG